AACUGAAGAGUUUGAUCAUGGCUCAGAUUGAACGCUGGCGGCAGGCUUAACACAUGCAAGUCGAGCGGGGGAAGGUAGCUUGCUACCGGACCUAGCGGCGGACGGGUGAGUAAUGCUUAGGAAUCUGCCUAUUAGUGGGGGACAACAUCUCGA
This 153-nucleotide ribosomal RNA is filed under the name Acinetobacter baumannii ABNIH6. RNAcentral describes it as "partial 16S ribosomal RNA". It matches the Rfam family "Bacterial small subunit ribosomal RNA", at positions 1 to 154 of the family's 1533-position model. The record is from RNAcentral. Lineage: Bacteria; Pseudomonadati; Pseudomonadota; Gammaproteobacteria; Moraxellales; Moraxellaceae.